ACAACGUAUUUGGACGUAAAUGACUUUCUCUUAUCACAUGAGGUGUAGAAUACACAUCCAAAUUUAGCAAGGAAUCUCUAUAUUGAAUGAUUCACAAUCAAUAGUAUUACUCGGAACUUAGAAAGUCGUCUUUUUGAAGAUUCAAGAAAUUACAGGACUUGGAGAAAACUUUGUAAUCCUCCCCUGUUCCUUUAAUUGACAUAGACCCAGCCAU
Molecule: transfer RNA, 214 nt
Filed under: Mazus stachydifolius
Lineage: Eukaryota; Viridiplantae; Streptophyta; Magnoliopsida; Lamiales; Mazaceae
Description: partial tRNA-Leu (UAA)
Source: RNAcentral